CUCCUCGUAGCUCAGCGGACAGAGCACCGGCCUCCGGAGCCGGGAGCGCAGGUUCGAUCCCUGCCGGGGAGA
RNAcentral lists this transfer RNA (72 nucleotides) under Actinomadura pelletieri DSM 43383. RNAcentral's name for it is "tRNA-Arg". It matches the Rfam family "tRNA". From Rfam's summary of the family: Transfer RNA (tRNA) molecules are approximately 80 nucleotides in length. Their secondary structure includes four short double-helical elements and three loops (D, anti-codon, and T loops). Further hydrogen bonds mediate the characteristic L-shaped molecular structure. tRNAs have two regions of fundamental functional importance: the anti-codon, which is responsible for specific mRNA codon recognition, and the 3' end, to which the tRNAs corresponding amino acid is attached (by aminoacyl-tRNA synthetases). tRNAs cope with the degeneracy of the genetic code in two manners: having more than one tRNA (with a specific anti-codon) for a particular amino acid; and 'wobble' base-pairing, i.e. permitting non-standard base-pairing at the 3rd anti-codon position. The record is from RNAcentral. Lineage: Bacteria; Bacillati; Actinomycetota; Actinomycetes; Streptosporangiales; Thermomonosporaceae.